Molecule: ribosomal RNA, 2773 nt
Filed under: Escherichia coli
Lineage: Bacteria; Pseudomonadati; Pseudomonadota; Gammaproteobacteria; Enterobacterales; Enterobacteriaceae
Also listed under: 1 other name
Description: bacterial LSU rRNA
Rfam family: Bacterial large subunit ribosomal RNA
Source: RNAcentral
AGCGUACACGGUGGAUGCCCUGGCAGUCAGAGGCGAUGAAGGACGUGCUAAUCUGCGAUAAGCGUCGGUAAGGUGAUAUGAACCGUUAUAACCGGCGAUUUCCGAAUGGGGAAACCCAGUGUGAUUCGUCACACUAUCAUUAACUGAAUCCAUAGGUUAAUGAGGCGAACCGGGGGAACUGAAACAUCUAAGUACCCCGAGGAAAAGAAAUCAACCGAGAUUCCCCCAGUAGCGGCGAGCGAACGGGGAGCAGCCCAGAGCCUGAAUCAGUGUGUGUGUUAGUGGAAGCGUCUGGAAAGGCGCGCGAUACAGGGUGACAGCCCCGUACACAAAAAUGCACAUGCUGUGAGCUCGAUGAGUAGGGCGGGACACGUGGUAUCCUGUCUGAAUAUGGGGGGACCAUCCUCCAAGGCUAAAUACUCCUGACUGACCGAUAGUGAACCAGUACCGUGAGGGAAAGGCGAAAAGAACCCCGGCGAGGGGAGUGAAAAAGAACCUGAAACCGUGUACGUACAAGCAGUGGGAGCACGCUUAGGCGUGUGACUGCGUACCUUUUGUAUAAUGGGUCAGCGACUUAUAUUCUGUAGCAAGGUUAACCGAAUAGGGGAGCCGAAGGGAAACCGAGUCUUAACUGGGCGUUAAGUUGCAGGGUAUAGACCCGAAACCCGGUGAUCUAGCCAUGGGCAGGUUGAAGGUUGGGUAACACUAACUGGAGGACCGAACCGACUAAUGUUGAAAAAUUAGCGGAUGACUUGUGGCUGGGGGUGAAAGGCCAAUCAAACCGGGAGAUAGCUGGUUCUCCCCGAAAGCUAUUUAGGUAGCGCCUCGUGAACUCAUCUCCGGGGGUAGAGCACUGUUUCGGCAAGGGGGUCAUCCCGACUUACCAACCCGAUGCAAACUGCGAAUACCGGAGAAUGUUAUCACGGGAGACACACGGCGGGUGCUAACGUCCGUCGUGAAGAGGGAAACAACCCAGACCGCCAGCUAAGGUCCCAAAGUCAUGGUUAAGUGGGAAACGAUGUGGGAAGGCCCAGACAGCCAGGAUGUUGGCUUAGAAGCAGCCAUCAUUUAAAGAAAGCGUAAUAGCUCACUGGUCGAGUCGGCCUGCGCGGAAGAUGUAACGGGGCUAAACCAUGCACCGAAGCUGCGGCAGCGACGCUGAUGCGUUGUUGGGUAGGGGAGCGUUCUGUAAGCCUGUGAAGGUGUGCUGUGAGGCAUGCUGGAGGUAUCAGAAGUGCGAAUGCUGACAUAAGUAACGAUAAAGCGGGUGAAAAGCCCGCUCGCCGGAAGACCAAGGGUUCCUGUCCAACGUUAAUCGGGGCAGGGUGAGUCGACCCCUAAGGCGAGGCCGAAAGGCGUAGUCGAUGGGAAACAGGUUAAUAUUCCUGUACUUGGUGUUACUGCGAAGGGGGGACGGAGAAGGCUAUGUUGGCCGGGCGACGGUUGUCCCGGUUUAAGCGUGUAGGCUGGUUUUCCAGGCAAAUCCGGAAAAUCAAGGCUGAGGCGUGAUGACGAGGCACUACGGUGCUGAAGCAACAAAUGCCCUGCUUCCAGGAAAAGCCUCUAAGCAUCAGGUAACAUCAAAUCGUACCCCAAACCGACACAGGUGGUCAGGUAGAGAAUACCAAGGCGCUUGAGAGAACUCGGGUGAAGGAACUAGGCAAAAUGGUGCCGUAACUUCGGGAGAAGGCACGCUGAUAUGUAGGUGAAGUCCCUCGCGGAUGGAGCUGAAAUCAGUCGAAGAUACCAGCUGGCUGCAACUGUUUAUUAAAAACACAGCACUGUGCAAACACGAAAGUGGACGUAUACGGUGUGACGCCUGCCCGGUGCCGGAAGGUUAAUUGAUGGGGUCAGCGCAAGCGAAGCUCUUGAUCGAAGCCCCGGUAAACGGCGGCCGUAACUAUAACGGUCCUAAGGUAGCGAAAUUCCUUGUCGGGUAAGUUCCGACCUGCACGAAUGGCGUAAUGAUGGCCAGGCUGUCUCCACCCGAGACUCAGUGAAAUUGAACUCGCUGUGAAGAUGCAGUGUACCCGCGGCAAGACGGAAAGACCCCGUGAACCUUUACUAUAGCUUGACACUGAACAUUGAGCCUUGAUGUGUAGGAUAGGUGGGAGGCUUAGAAGUGUGGACGCCAGUCUGCAUGGAGCCGACCUUGAAAUACCACCCUUUAAUGUUUGAUGUUCUAACGUUGACCCGUAAUCCGGGUUGCGGACAGUGUCUGGUGGGUAGUUUGACUGGGGCGGUCUCCUCCUAAAGAGUAACGGAGGAGCACGAAGGUUGGCUAAUCCUGGUCGGACAUCAGGAGGUUAGUGCAAUGGCAUAAGCCAGCUUGACUGCGAGCGUGACGGCGCGAGCAGGUGCGAAAGCAGGUCAUAGUGAUCCGGUGGUUCUGAAUGGAAGGGCCAUCGCUCAACGGAUAAAAGGUACUCCGGGGAUAACAGGCUGAUACCGCCCAAGAGUUCAUAUCGACGGCGGUGUUUGGCACCUCGAUGUCGGCUCAUCACAUCCUGGGGCUGAAGUAGGUCCCAAGGGUAUGGCUGUUCGCCAUUUAAAGUGGUACGCGAGCUGGGUUUAGAACGUCGUGAGACAGUUCGGUCCCUAUCUGCCGUGGGCGCUGGAGAACUGAGGGGGGCUGCUCCUAGUACGAGAGGACCGGAGUGGACGCAUCACUGGUGUUCGGGUUGUCAUGCCAAUGGCACUGCCCGGUAGCUAAAUGCGGAAGAGAUAAGUGCUGAAAGCAUCUAAGCACGAAACUUGCCCCGAGAUGAGUUCU